GAUGAACGCUGGCGGCGUGCCUAAUACAUGCAAGUCGAACGGUCCGCAAGGAUAGUGGCGAACGGGUGAGUAACGCGUGGGAACGUACCCUUUGCUACGGAAUAGCCCCGGGAAACUGGGAGUAAUACCGUAUGUGCCCUCUGGGGGAAAGAUUUAUCGGCAAAGGAUCGGCCCGCGUUGGAUUAGGUAGUUGGUGGGGUAAUGGCCUACCAAGCCGACGAUCCAUAGCUGGUUUGAGAGGAUGAUCAGCCACACUGGGACUGAGACACGGCCCAGACUCCUACGGGAGGCAGCAGUGGGGAAUCUUAGACAAUGGGGGCGAACCCUGAUCUAGCCAUGCCGCGUGAGUGAUGAAGGCCCUAGGGUUGUAAAGCUCUUUCAGCUGGGAAGAUAAUGACGGUACCAGCAGAAGAAGCCCCGGCUAACUCCGUG
RNAcentral lists this ribosomal RNA (432 nucleotides) under uncultured bacterium. RNAcentral describes it as "bacterial SSU rRNA". It matches the Rfam family "Bacterial small subunit ribosomal RNA", at positions 28 to 507 of the family's 1533-position model. The record is from RNAcentral.